GAUUUUAUUCUAAUCUUGCAAGAUUUUUUGGAGAACCCGUUUCUUUCUUGAAGCCUAUAAAUUGGAGACUCUCCUCUUCAUUUUAUACACACCAAAAAUUGAGAGAAAAACCAAGAAAGAACUCUCCCCGCUUUGUGCAAAACCUGCUCUGCCUUUGCGAAUUUGUCUUUGUGACUAAAGAUGGCCUUCAAAUUGGAGAUACCAUUGUGGUGUGUAUCAAUUUUUUUUUUUUUUUUGUCUUGUUUUUCUUUUCUUUAAUCUCUACAAAUCCUAAACUAAUUGGUUGUUUGAUUCGAUUUUUUAGGUGGAUUUGUUGCACACCAUUUAUUUUUAUUUUUAUUUUUAUCGUAUUGAGAGUCUCGUUGAUCAUUAAUUUCUUUAGCUUCCACUACCUCAUUGUCGGUUACUGGAAGUUUUUUUCCUUUCUUUUUAUUGGGUUUUUAGCACAUUUGACUGAAUUCUACUUGUAAUGUUUUUUCUUAAACACCACAUUGUAUAUAAAAUUGAUACUUUCUUCUAAGACACUGCUAACUGACAUAAAUGAGACCUGAUUCAAUUGAUUUCUGGUUCCAGGGAAGCACUUGGAGAAUCAUGUUAUUGGUGGUGUUGUCUAUGCGGAAUAAUUAGAAGGAUUUGGUGGUAGCCUGCGUGUCCAUCGGUGGAACCUUAAAUUGCAUGAUGAAAUGAAAGUGCAAUGUGCAUAUUCAUAUUUCAGUGACAUAACAGUUUUGAACAACAGUCACUAUGUUUUGGUGGAUCAUCUUCAAAAUAAAUUUUUACAAGUUUUAUGUUGUCUUUAGGAACAGAUUAUUGUCCGGUUUAUAUUGAUCAUAUGUUGGCUAUUUAGAGUUGAUGACAUCUUUUACUCUUUAAGUAGCACCAUUUCUUAAUUAUUUUUGUAGAAUUGGUUUCCUAGUGGUGUUUAAAAUUGUGGUGAUACGACCUUUAUGGCUUUAAGGAAGAGUUAUUUUUCAUUCUUGUUACUUUUUGAUCCCUUCAUCGCAGGCGGCAGGCCC
This 1016-nucleotide long non-coding RNA is filed under the name Olea europaea (common olive). RNAcentral's name for it is "long non-coding RNA (OEUR_LNC000132)". The record is from RNAcentral. Lineage: Eukaryota; Viridiplantae; Streptophyta; Magnoliopsida; Lamiales; Oleaceae.